GGGGCCGACUGGUAUCGACCGGACGAUGAUCGUUUGUCGUUGCGCGUCGUGGAGCAUCCAUGCCACGUAAAAAGGAUGCAAACUUUUAUCUGCCAACACGCAGUACGCUCUCGCGGCCUGAUCGCCGUGACGGAAUCCCAUCUGACGCCCGAUGGGGUGGGAUUCCGCAAAUCAUCGGGCUGGGUCCGAAGG
RNAcentral lists this transfer-messenger RNA (192 nucleotides) under Phycisphaeraceae bacterium. RNAcentral's name for it is "partial transfer-messenger RNA". It matches the Rfam family "transfer-messenger RNA", at positions 1 to 212 of the family's 374-position model. Rfam says of the family: Bacterial tmRNA, also known as 10Sa RNA or SsrA, is named for its dual tRNA and mRNA-like properties. Lineage: Bacteria; Pseudomonadati; Planctomycetota; Phycisphaerae; Phycisphaerales; Phycisphaeraceae. The record is from RNAcentral.